CAAAUUCCAUUCCACACCUCCAUGUUUGCUCCUCAGUGACCGAUAUGGGCAACUUGUGUGUUUCAUUGAGGCCCUUUUCCCCAUUAGCCCCAGACCUGGAGAGGGGUGGCACUGGGAAGUCCUGAGCUGAGCCUCCUCGCUGGCGUUGAGAAAGCACAAGCAAGAAUGUGUGAGAAGAUCACAGAGACCUAAAGAAGGGGAAGGGAAGAACCCACAUGUGAGAGAGAAGAGAUUGUCUGACUUGGUCUCUUAGGGCUCCUCAUCUCAAGAAGCCAGCAGGCAAGGGAAGGACAAACCAUCCUUGCAGGAAUAAUUCGUACUGAUCAUUUGGAGGAGAUACGGCUAGUAUAGCUGCUGUUACAUAAUGAAGAAAAGCAAGAAUAUGUUUCAAACUCAGAUGAACCACUGGGGAGUCUCUUGAUACUCUGUUGCCUAAUUUGGAUGGUUAAUGGGUGUUGCGCCUUAAAGCACUAUCCAAUAAACCUCCUGCAUGCAAAUCUCCAUCUCAGAAUCUGUAUCCAAGAGAUUCUACUCAAGACAUCAUCUUUUCCAGUCAGUGUUCCUAAUUGCACUGCCCCUGGAAAACGCACGGAGAAGAAAUACAGCAAAAUACGUGAGAUGGUGAAACACUCUGGCAACUGCAAGCAGACAGAUGGGAUCUGGGAGGGACUCCCAUCUUCUGCAUGGCAUCAGCACAAGGGUGAAGAGGGAAGAUAAAGGAUCAUGCAGGGAGUUUCAUGGACUAGGCCUGGAAGUGCCAUAUUCCACUGCUGCUUGUGUUCCAGAAGGCAGCCACACAGCCACAAGGGAUUGUAAAGGAAGCUGAAAAAUAUGAUCGAGCAUUGUGUCUGGGAAGAGAGGGAAAUGGGUAUGGUGCAUGACUAACCAGUGUUUGUCACAGCACAGAAAGUAAGGUAUAAAGGAAACAACUCACUCUGUAUUCCCUAAGACAGUUGUGCUAAUAGCAUUAGCAGAAUUGUUAAUGUUAGCAGAAAUAACAGUUAAUUGUUCAGGUGUAGAACCCCCAGGGUGAGCUGGGAAUUCUCUCUUGAAUGACAGUCUUCCAUUUUGUCUCUUCUUCUUAGUCUUUUCUGCCAUUGCCUUUGUUCAGAUCUUUUCUACCUUGUAUCCAGCUUGCUGGAACCUCCACCUUCCUGGCCUGAAAGAACUAGCUUGUGAGCAUGUAUCAUGUUUGCUUUCUUCUGCAAGUUGGCUCAUACAUUUUAUUAUUACCUAAUGCUGCGUAAAAACUCAUUCCAAAACUCAGUGGCUUAAAACAGCAGUACAUUUUUAUAUCUCUCAUGGUUUCUGUGGGUCAGGAAUUUGGGGAGCAGCUUAGCUGGGUGGUUUUGGUUUGGGGUUUCUCUUGGGGUUGAACUGAGAUAUCUGCUGGGCUUUGCAGUCAUCUGAAAACUUACUGGGGGCUCAAGGUGGUUCACACAUGUGGAUGGCAAGUUGGUACUGGCUGUUGGCAAGAUGUCUCAGUAUCUCUCUAAGCAGGCCUCUCUUCAUGGCUGCUUGAGUGACUUCAUGGAAUGGUGGCUGACUUCUCCCAGAAUAAAUGAUUUAAGAGCCAAGGUAAAGCCAUAUGCCCUUUAUAACCGGGCCUCAGAAAUCCCUCACUGUCACCUCUGCCAUACUCUACUGUUCAUGUGAAUGACCCUGAUUCAGUGUGGGAAGAGACUAUGCAGGGCAUAAUACCAGAAGGCAAAAAUCACUGGGGGCAAUUUGGGAGGCUGGCCACCACACAGACUGCAUUUCAACUGUGCACCUCCCUCAAUCUCAACUUUUUCCAUACUCUCUCACUUUCUCUUCCACUUUCUGUAUUCAGAUCAAAGCCCAUCGCUUCAUGAAGUAUGCCCUGACCACUCAGCAACUAGCACUCCCAUUGCAAUUCAUUGUUCUUGCCACAUAUAUGGUCUUUAUAAUUUAACACCCUGCUUUGAAGAUGUACACGUGUGUCUGUUCUUUCAGAUGGAAUUUAAAGAAUCGUAUACUAUACUCCCUGUCAUAUAGUAGGCACUCAAUAAAUAUUUUUUCUAUGGAUGAAUGAAUGAGUGAAUGAAGAGUACAAGCCAGAAUCCCUGUGUCCCUACCUGUGGGCUUUUCCCUUGCUGCUUGACCUUAGUGAAGUCACUCCACCUCUCAGUCUGCUAACUCCUCCAUAAAAUGAAGAUAAUUAUACCCACCCCAGCUGUCACAGACAUGCUUUGACAUUUGAAAGAGGCAGCACUUAUAAAAGUGUUUUCGAGUGUAUAAAGAACAGGGCAAGGUGGUGUUAGUUACCUGGUUCACAAGUGAUGGCUGACAUGUAUGGCAUUGUCAUGGGAUUGAGAUCAGUCAAUCCCUCUGACUUCCGCCUCAAGAAACAGUUCACACCCACACCAAGCUACACAAAGAGUCUUUGUUCAUUCCAACAGCUGCUCCUUCAGCACGUCAUGGUCACGACCAGGAGAGGCCCUGGGCAGAGAGAACUGCCUGGUCCGGGUUGCUAGGCCCCUUCACAGUCACACUCUGGAGACGUCAAAGCCCAAAGGCAAAGUUUAUUUCUCUAGUAGAAUUCUCAGGUUUCCUUUCCCUUUGUACACUCUGGUUUUAUAAUGUUUUUAUUAUAGAUAAUUGUCUAGGGAUAAUUUUUUUUGCAUCUAACUCUUUUAAAUAAAAAUUAACAUAAAGUAAAUUAGUGUCUUUUUUUGGUGUAGAGUUCCAUGAAUUUUAACCCAUGGGUCAAUUUAUGUAGCUACUGCCAGCACAAUCAGGACCCAGAGCAGUUCCAUCACCCCCAGCAAAGUCCCACGUUCUUUCCUGUUGUAGUCACACCCCUGCCCCCACCCACACUGAUGUCAAUCACUGAUAUGUCCUCCAUCACAGUUUUGUCUUUUUCAGAAUAUCACACACAUGCAAUCAUACAGUACGCGCCCUUUAGAAAUUUUUUUUUCACUUGACAUAUCCUUGAGAUUCAUCCAAGCCUAUUUCUCUUUAUUACAAAGUAAUAUUCCUUUGUAAGGAAGUACCUCUAUUUGUUUAUUCACCCACCUGUUGAAGGACAUUUGGAGUGGGAUUGUUGGCACAUAUGGUAAAUGUAUGUUUAACUUUCCAAAAUCUGCCAAACUAUUUUCCAGAGUGGCUUUAAUGUUUUCAUUCCCAAAAGCAUUGUGUGAGAUAUCCCAGUUGCUCCUCAUCCUCACCAACACUUGGUAUUGCAUUUGAUUUUUGAGCCAUUCUUAUAGACGUGUUGUGGUAUGUCAUGGGUUUAAUUGGCAUCUCCCUCAAAAGUAAAGUGUUUGUUCAAGUCUGUGUAUACUUUUUAAUUGCUUGUUUUCUUAUUGUUGAAUUUUGAGACUUAUUUAUGUGUUCUGAAUACAUGUCCUCUGUCAGAUACAUGAUUUACAAAUAUUUUCAUCCAAUCUGUGAGUUGUCUUUUCAUUCUCUCAACAAGGUCUUUGUAGAAAGAAAUUUUUAAUUUUGAUGAAGUUCAAUUUAUUAAUUUUUAAUGUUACUGAUUAUGCUUUUGGUAAGAUGUCUAAGAAUUCUUUGCCUAACCACAGUUCGUAAUACAGAAAAGUUUGUAAUAUGGGAAAAUACAGGCUGCUUUCUCCUACAUUUACUUUUAACAUUUUUAUUUUUUAAAUUUUACAUUUAGACCUAUGAUCCAUUUGGAGUUAAUUUUUGAGUAAGGUGUGAGGUUGUGAGAAUUUCAAGGUUCUUUUUUCUUUUCAUUUUUUUGUAUAUGGUUGCCCAAUAGUUUCAACACUAUUUAUUGGUUUCAGAAGUUUUCCUCUAGAUUUUCUGGGAAUUUCCACAUAAGCAAUCAUGUCGUCUGGACUAGAGACAGUGUUAUUUAUUCCUUUCUAAUCUGUAUGCCUCUUUUUAUCUUCUUCCUGAUGCAUUGAACUGGCUAGGACUUCCAGUACAAUCCCAGUAAUAAAAGCAAUGUAAGUGGAACCACUUCUCUUGUAUCCAGUCUUAAGUGGAGGGCAUUCAGUGCUUCACCAAUGAGUGUGAUGCUAGCUGUAUGUUUUUUAAUUUUGUAAAGUGCUUUGUCUGCAUCAAUUAAUAUGAUCAUAUGUUUUUUCUUCUUUAGACUUUCAGUAUGGUGGAUUGAAUUACAGUUUUAAAUUCACAAAGAAAAGGGAACACUUACACACUGUUGGUGGGAGUGUAAAUUAGUUCAACCAUUGUGGAAAGCAGUAUGACUAUUUCUGAAACAGCUAAAAGCAGAUCUACCUUUUGACCCAGCAACUCCAUUACUGGGUAUAUACCUAGAGGAAUAUAAAUCAUUCUACCAUAAAGACACAUGCAUGCAAAUAAUCAUUGCAGCACUGUUCGCAAUGGCAAAGUCAUGGAAUCAAUCGAAAUGCCCAUCAAUGGUAGAUUAGAUAAAGAAAAUGUGAUACAUAUACACCAUGGAAUACUAUGGAGCCAUAAACAAUAAUGAGAUCAUGUCUUUUGCAGGAAUAUGGAUGGAGCUGGAGGCUAUUAUCUUUAGCAAAUUAACUCAGGAACAGAAAACCAAAUACUGCAUUCCACUGUAAGUGGGAGCUAAGUGAUGAGAACUUAUUAACACAAAGAUGGGAACAACAGACACUGGGUUCUACUUGAGGGUGAAGGGAGGCAGGAGCGAGAGGAACAGAAAAGAUAACUAUUGGGUACUGGGCUUAAUACCUGGGGGAUGAAAUAAUCUGUAUAACAAACUCCCGUGAUAUGAGUUUACCUAUGUAACAAAUCUUCACAUGUACCCCCAAACUUAAAAGUUUUUAAAAAAAUUAUCAGCUUAGAUUAGUGAUUUGAGAUCUUGCUUCUUUUCCAAUAUAACCAUUUAGAUUAGCGAUUUGAGACCUUCUUUUCAAAUAUGACCAUUUGUUGUAUUAAUAGGCUUUUAAAUGUUUUGUUUCAUUGACAAAUUUUGACAUGUUGUAUUUUUAUUUAUAUUUAGUUAAAAAUAUUUUACAAUUAUUCUGGAGACUUCCCCUUUGAAUUAUGAAUAAUUUUGAAAUGUGUGGUUUAAUUUCUCACUGAACAAUUUCCUAUUCUUGUUCUGUUAUUGAUUUUGAGUCUAAUUCCAUACUUCUAAAGACUUCAAUUCUUUUGAAUUUUUUAUUAUUUGCUUUAUGACAAAAGAUAUGAUUUAUUUUGAUGAACAUUUCAUGUGCACAUGAAAAGAUUUGUAUUUGCUGUUUUUGGUAGAGUAGUCUGUACGUGUCAGACCUACUUAAUGGUGCUGUUCUUUUCUUCCAUAUCCUGGCUGAUCAAAUGUCUACUAGCUCUAUUGAUAUUGAAAAAGAAGUGUUGAAGUCUCCAACUAUGAUUUUGAAUUUGUCUAUUUCUGUUUUCAGUUUUGUGACUUUUUGCUUAAUCUAAUUUGAAACUCUGUUGUUAAAUGCAAAUACAUUAGUUAGAUGGUAUUUCUUCUUGGUGAAUUGAUCAAUUAUAAUUAUGUAAUGUUCCUCUUUAUUUCUAGUAAGUUUUUUCCUUUGAAGUCUACUUUGUCUGAUAUUAAUAUUGCCCUUUCAGCUGUCUUUUGAUUUGUGUGUGCAUAAUAUUUCUCUUUCUGUACUUUUCCUUUUAACAUACCUUUAUCAUUAUAGUUAAAAUGGAUUUUUUGUAUGCAGAAUAUUGUUGGGUCUUUUUUUAUGCAUUCUGAUAAUCUCUGACUUUCUUGGUGUUUUUAGAGCACUUACAUUUAAUGUUAUUUUAUAUGUUUUACUUAGGCCUCUUUUAAAAAUCAUUUUUUAAGUAA
Gorilla gorilla gorilla (western lowland gorilla) is the source of this 5740-nucleotide long non-coding RNA. RefSeq lists it as uncharacterized. The transcript has 6 exons. Lineage: Eukaryota; Metazoa; Chordata; Mammalia; Primates; Hominidae. The record is from RefSeq and is a predicted model, not a curated record.